Molecule: ribosomal RNA, 433 nt
Filed under: uncultured bacterium
Lineage: Bacteria
Description: partial 16S ribosomal RNA
Rfam family: Bacterial small subunit ribosomal RNA
Source: RNAcentral
AACGAACGCUGGCGGCAUGCCUAACACAUGCAAGUCGAACGAGACCUUCGGGUCUAGUGGCGCACGGGUGCGUAACGCGUGGGAACCUGCCCUUAGGUUCGGAAUAACUCCCCGAAAGGGGUGCUAAUACCGGAUAAUGUCUUCGGACCAAAGAUUUAUCGCCCUUGGAUGGGCCCGCGUUGGAUUAGCUAGUUGGUAGGGUAAAAGCCUACCAAGGCGACGAUCCAUAGCUGGUCUGAGAGGAUGAUCAGCCACACUGGGACUGAGACACGGCCCAGACUCCUACGGGAGGCAGCAGUGGGGAAUAUUGGACAAUGGGCGAAAGCCUGAGCCAGCAAUGCCGCGUGAGUGAUGAAGGCCUUAGGGUUGUAAAGCUCUUUUACCCGGGAUGAUAAUGACAGUACCGGGAGAAUAAGCUCCGGCUAACUCCGUG